AGCGAACGCUGGCGGCAGGCCUAACACAUGCAAGUCGAACGAACUCUUCGGAGUUAGUGGCGGACGGGUGAGUAACACGUGGGAACGUGCCUUUAGGUUCGGAAUAACUCAGGGAAACUUGUGCUAAUACCGAAUGUGCCCUUCGGGGAAAGGAUUUAUCGCCUUUAGAGCGGCCCGCGUCUGAUUAGCUAGUUGGUGAGGUAAAGGCUCACCAAGGCUACGAUCAGUAGCUGGUCUGAGAGGAUGACCAGCCACAUUGGGACUGAGACACGGCCCAAACUCCUACGGGAGGCAGCAGUGGGGAAUCUUGCGCAAUGGGCGAAAGCCUGACGCAGCCAUGCCGCGUGGAUGAUGAAGGUCUUAGGAUUGUAAAAUCCUUUCACCGGUGAAGAUAAUGACUGUAGCCGGAGAAGAAGCCCCGGCUAACUUCGUG
RNAcentral lists this ribosomal RNA (433 nucleotides) under uncultured bacterium. Its description in RNAcentral is "bacterial SSU rRNA". It matches the Rfam family "Bacterial small subunit ribosomal RNA", at positions 29 to 507 of the family's 1533-position model. The record is from RNAcentral.